RNAcentral lists this ribosomal RNA (497 nucleotides) under uncultured bacterium. Its description in RNAcentral is "partial 16S ribosomal RNA". It matches the Rfam family "Bacterial small subunit ribosomal RNA", at positions 28 to 507 of the family's 1533-position model. The record is from RNAcentral.
GAUGAACGCUGGCGGCGUGCCUAAUACAUGCAAGUCGAGCGAACGGACGAGAAGCUUGCUUCUCUGAUGUUAGCGGCGGACGGGUGAGUAACACGUGGAUAACCUACCUAUAAGACUGGGAUAACUUCGGGAAACCGGCGCUAAUACCGGAUAAUCUUUUGAACCGCAUUGUUCAAAAGUGAAAGACGGUCUUGCUGUCUCUUAUCGAUGGAUCCGCGCUGCAUUAGCUAGUUGGUAAGGUAACGGCUUACGAAGGCAACGAUGCAUAGCCGACGGGAGAGGGGGAUCGGCCACACUGGAACUUGGACACGGUCCAGACUCCUACGGGAGGCAGCAGUAGGGAAUCGUCCGCAAUGGGCGAAAGCCUGACGGAGCAACGCCGCGUGAGUGAUGAAGGUCUUCGGAUCGUAAAACUCUGUUAUGAGGGAAGAACAUAUGUGUAAGUAACUGUGCACAUCUUGACGGUACCUAAUCAGAAAGCCACGGCUAACUACGUG